UGCAUUUGUAUACACAUGUGUGUGCAUGCAUAUGUGUGUGUAACAAUGACAGUUAAAUA
Cricetulus griseus (Chinese hamster) is the source of this 59-nucleotide microRNA precursor. Lineage: Eukaryota; Metazoa; Chordata; Mammalia; Rodentia; Cricetidae. The record is from Ensembl.